GCCGGGCAUAGUGGCGGGUGCCUGUAAUCCCAGCUACACCUCAGGAGGCUGAGGCAGAAUAAUUGCUUGAACCCGGGAGGUGGAGGUUGCAGUGAGCCGAGAUUGCGCCACUGCACUCCAGCCCGGGUGUCAGAGCAAGACUCUGUCUCAG
This 151-nucleotide non-coding RNA is filed under the name Pan troglodytes (chimpanzee). Lineage: Eukaryota; Metazoa; Chordata; Mammalia; Primates; Hominidae. The record is from Rfam by way of RNAcentral.